This 497-nucleotide ribosomal RNA is filed under the name uncultured Flavobacterium sp. RNAcentral describes it as "bacterial SSU rRNA". It matches the Rfam family "Bacterial small subunit ribosomal RNA", at positions 9 to 507 of the family's 1533-position model. Lineage: Bacteria; Pseudomonadati; Bacteroidota; Flavobacteriia; Flavobacteriales; Flavobacteriaceae. The record is from RNAcentral.
GAGUUUGAUCUUGGCUCAGGAUGAACGCUAGCGGCAGGCCUAACACAUGCAAGUCGAGGGGUAGAACACUUCGGUGUUUGAGACCGGCGCACGGGUGCGUAACGCGUAUGCAAUCUGCCUUGUACUAAGGGAUAGCCCAGAGAAAUUUGGAUUAAUACCUUAUAGUAUAUAGAUGUGGCAUCACAUUUAUAUUAAAGAUUUAUCGGUACAAGAUGAGCAUGCGUCCCAUUAGCUAGUUGGUAUGGUAACGGCAUACCAAGGCAAUGAUGGGUGGGGGUCCUGAGAGGGAGAUCCCCCACACUGGUACUGAGACACGGACCAGACUCCUACGGGAGGCAGCAGUGAGGAAUAUUGGUCAAUGGGCGCAAGCCUGAACCAGCCAUGCCGCGUGCAGGAUGAAGCAUCUAUGGUGUGUAAACUGCUUUUGUACGGGAAGAAACAGCUCUUCGUGAAGAGCCUUGACGGUACCGUAAGAAUAAGGAUCGGCUAACUCCGUG